Molecule: ribosomal RNA, 412 nt
Filed under: uncultured bacterium
Lineage: Bacteria
Description: bacterial SSU rRNA
Rfam family: Bacterial small subunit ribosomal RNA
Source: RNAcentral
AAUCAACGCUGGCGGCGUGCCUCAGACAUGCAAGUCGAACGAGAACCUCCCUUCGGGGAGGGGACAGUGGCGCACGGGUGAGUAACACGUGGGUAAUUUACCUUUGGGUGGGGAACAACAGCCGGAAACGGCUGCUAAUACCGCAUAAUGCAGCGGCUCGACAUCGAGACAGUUGUUAAAGCGGGGAUCGCAAGACCUCGCGCCUGAAGAGAAGCCUGCGGCGGAUUAGCAGUUGGUAGGGUAAUGGCCUACCAAGGCGACGAUCUGUAACCGGCCUGAGAGGGCGGUCGGUCACACUGACACUGACAUACGGGUCAGACUCCUACGGGAGGCAGCAGUCGGGAAUUUUGGGCAAUGGGCGAAAGCCUGACGCAGCAACACCGUGUGAGCGACGAAGGCCUCGGGUCGUAAG